RNAcentral lists this ribosomal RNA (253 nucleotides) under Strombidinopsis acuminata. RNAcentral's name for it is "partial Bacterial large subunit ribosomal RNA". It matches the Rfam family "Bacterial large subunit ribosomal RNA", at positions 1135 to 1398 of the family's 2925-position model. The record is from RNAcentral. Lineage: Eukaryota; Ciliophora; Spirotrichea; Choreotrichida; Strombidinopsidae.
UAACAGCUCACUAGUCGAGCGAUCCGGCAUGGAUAAUAAUCGGGCAUAAACAUACUACCGAAGCUAUGGACUUGUAAAAGUGGUAGGGGAGCAUUGUAGUGUCGUCGAAGGUGUACUGUGAGGUAUGCUGGAGAAGCUACAAAAGAAAAUGUAGGCAUAAGUAACGAUAAUGCGGGCGAGAAACCCGCACACCGAAAGACUAAGGUUUCCUCAGCUAUGCUAAUCAGCUGAGGGUUAGUCGGGACCUAACGCG